GACGAACGCUGGCGGCGUGCUUAACACAUGCGAGUCGAACGGAAAGGCCCUGCUUUUGUGGGGUGCUCGAGUGGCGAACGGGUGAGUAACACGUGAGUAACCUGCCCUUGACUUUGGGAUAACUUCAGGAAACUGGGGCUAAUACCGGAUAGGAGCUCCUGCUGCAUGGUGGGGGUUGGAAAGUUUCGGCGGUUGGGGAUGGACUCGCGGCUUAUCAGCUUGUUGGUGGGGUAGUGGCUUACCAAGGCUUUGACGGGUAGCCGGCCUGAGAGGGUGACCGGCCAGGGGGGUACGGCCGUCGGCCCAAGCCGCGUGGGGGGGGGAGCAGUGGGAUAUAUGGCGCGGUGGGUGGCAGCCUGCGGCAGCCGCGCGGCGUGCGUGCGGGCGGCCUGCGGUGUGUCAACCGCUUCCGCUGGGGACGGGGCGUGAGCGCCGGUAGUGGGUAAAGAAGCACCGGCAAACGACGGGCCAGCAGCCGCGGUAAUAAGGGGAAGAGCCCUCGUCAGUAC
This 509-nucleotide ribosomal RNA is filed under the name uncultured bacterium. RNAcentral's name for it is "partial 16S ribosomal RNA". It matches the Rfam family "Bacterial small subunit ribosomal RNA", at positions 27 to 551 of the family's 1533-position model. The record is from RNAcentral.